CCUACGGGUGGCUGCAGUGAGGAAUAUUGGUCAAUGGGCGGAAGCCUGAACCAGCCAAGUAGCGUGCAGGAUGACGGCCCUACGGGUUGUAAACUGCUUUUAUACGGGAAUAACGCGCCUUACGUGUAGGGCUUUGCAUGUACCGUAUGAAUAAGGACCGGCUAAUUCCGUGCCAGCAGCCGCGGUAAUACGGAAGGUCCGGGCGUUCUCCGGAUUUAUUGGGUUUAAAGGGAGCCGAGGCCGCAUGUCAAGCGUGCUGUGAAAUGUCCGGGCUCAACCCGGGCCUUGCAGCGCGAACUGGCGGGCGUGAGGCCGCCGAAAGGAGGCGGAAUUCGUCGGGUAGCGGGGAAAUGCUU
This 356-nucleotide ribosomal RNA is filed under the name uncultured bacterium. RNAcentral's name for it is "partial 16S ribosomal RNA". It matches the Rfam family "Bacterial small subunit ribosomal RNA", at positions 338 to 691 of the family's 1533-position model. The record is from RNAcentral.